AUGAUUAGUUCUUGUUCCAAGGGGAUACCAUGGGACUAUGUUAUCCUCUCAACUCUGGCAUGCCUUUGUGUUAAUGUUUGGCGUCGUGACUGUGAGGUAGGUCGAGGCACUUGUGUCCAUGUGCCUCUGGGACUUUGUCGACAAAGUGACCAGGCAACUUCUGACGACAACAUAGGCACUUGUGUGUCCAUGUGCCUCUUGAUCAUUUGUGGAUUCAAGAUAUUUGCCUUGUCAAGCCAAUUCAGGGAUAUAAGUCUGUUGGCAAAGACGCUCCUUCUGGAAGCCUGCCCGACGAACAACUUGAGGCUGAGUGCAGAGAGGUGCUGCAUGUCUCUUAUCUGA
Molecule: ribosomal RNA, 342 nt
Filed under: Triticum aestivum (bread wheat)
Lineage: Eukaryota; Viridiplantae; Streptophyta; Magnoliopsida; Poales; Poaceae
Description: partial small subunit ribosomal RNA
Source: RNAcentral